Long non-coding RNA from Astatotilapia calliptera (eastern happy), 1852 nucleotides. Lineage: Eukaryota; Metazoa; Chordata; Actinopteri; Cichliformes; Cichlidae. The record is from Ensembl.
CUUUAAUGGACUUCACUCAGCACUUCUGCAUGCCCUCAGGGAACACCCAUGAUGUUGACUAAGUCUACUUUUGCAGUUUGUUCACGUCUCUGAGAAUGUGUUUGUCAAGAGUGGCUGUAUGACUGUAGCAAGCAGGUUGUACUUGUACAUUUAAUGUCAGCAUCUAAGGAGGUAAAGUUCACUUGUGAUGACUGCUCACUCUCUCCCUUUGUCUGUUAUCCUGGUUUGAGGUUGUUAGAGGUGGGUCCAAAGAGGAGUCAUUCCUUAACUAACUUCUCAGAUUGCUGUACAAGGGGUCUAUGUGUGCCAACACUGAAUUUUCCCCAGUAAUCAGGAAUAUGUUUGGUUUAUGGUUUAGAUCCAUGAACCAAAAAUCCAUCGUAAUCCAUACACUUUCUGCACUGUUGAAAGCUGUGCUAUUUUCCUUCACAAUUAAAUAUAUUUCGGUUAUUUCAAAUAUUUCACUGUUGUCUGUGUGGAGGUCUGUCUCUGUGUCUGAGCUUUGAUAUCAGGAAGCCUUCACCUGUCUCAUUUAUACUGAAUAAAGAGCCUGAGGAGUUUUCUGUUUUUUCAGGUAACAAAUGGGUACCUCAAGAUUAACGCUGUCAUAUGUGAAUGAGUGUUGGUUUCCUUUUAAACUGUCACUGUUUUUUUUUUUUUUGUUUUUUUUUUAAAUCUGUGUAUUUGCUCCUGAUUUUACUUUUUUGCAUUGGUCUGAAAUGGCCCAGCUUUGUUUAGUUAAUGUGAGUAGAUAAACAAUAAACACUGUCUUUAUUUGAUUUUUUAUGCAUAUGUUUACCGUACACAGGUCAUCACAGCAAAUGUGUUACAGAAAUGGGCAUUUGCACAGAUAUGAAUCAAAAAACUGUACUGCUAAUAAAUCAUAUUGAAAGCAACUUUUGCAAGACAUGUUUUAAUACAGGUUAUAAGGAUUUCUUAUACAUUUGAAAACAAAACAAAUCACAAAGAAAACCCCAAAACAUUUCACCUCCCAUUGGUUUUUCAGUCGGGCUCUAAUUUGAAGAAAUAGAUUUUUUGUUUUUCAAAUGGACAAACAACAGGAAUUGGUGUCUAGAAAUAAAGAAUAAAAAAAUCUAAAAUCUCAUGAACUGCCAUAAACCAGCGCAAAGGUUUUACUACUUGCAAAGGCACACAGGCUCAUUAUUAACAAAGGCAGAGGCAUGGCAAAUCAAUUUACAUAAUUUUAUUAAACAAAAUAACUGAAAAUAUGGACCUGUGGCAAAGAAAACAGCAAAUUAAGUGGUAGCACUGUCAACCCCCCCCAAAAAAGAGAAAUUAAUUUUAAAAAAACCACUUUAUCACCAGACAUUGGUUUAAAAAAUAAAUAAAUAAAAAAUUCACCGCCACCAACAAAUAGGAAAACACAGACAGUAGUAAACGUGAUGGGAGAAAGACAAUAAAGCAAAGAGGGUAAAACAAAAGGAACUAAUCAACUCUAUGAAAUUCAACUAAUUCCAGUUUAACUAAAGACUCAAAAUAUUAAGGAAAUACAAGAUGAAAAUGUAAACGAUAAUAAGAUAACAACCGAAUUGUAAAUAUUUAAUAAUAUUUAAUAACAAAAUCAAUAAAUUAAGGGACAAAUAAAACACCCAAGCUGAUAUGUCAAAAUCACAAACAAUGCCCAAGUCUUAAUAAAAUGACACAUAGUCACGCAUAUGAAUAAAGAACUUAACAAAGCAUAAUUUUAUAUUUACCAAGAACAUUGCAGUGAUAAAACUGGUUUGCUAUCUAGGACUUUUAAAGCUUGAUUAUGAAGGGAGUGGUUUUAAAGUUAUAGCACCAGCAGGAAAUGCAGUUGUUAAUAUGACAGAACAUUAGCUUUUUCUUACAC